AAGAACUUGAACGAUAAAAGCAAAUAGAAAUCCAUGAUUAAAAACACCAUCAUUUGGUCAGUAGAACAAAAAGGUUUUAACUUGUAAUGAAUCUCAACUUAACUCAACUAAUGCACCAAAAUUCCAUAAAUCUAAAGUGCUUCUCAAUGCACAUGACCAAACAAGUUACAUGAACAAGUUGGGCUUAGUAGCCUUGUAUGUGGUCUUGAGUUUCCUAGAUGGUGGCCUGACUUUCUUGAACACCAAAGGGAACUUGAUCUUGGAGUCAUGGAACUGCUUUGUGCUCUCCCUCUUGCACAGUUUAGCUGGAAUGGUUGCUGUCUUUAUGAUCUGAAUGCAGUGAUGGCGAACUCUGUGGCGAGAAGCCAUCUCAAUGUACAUCUGCUCCACACCACCAUUCAAUGUGGUGUCACGGUACUCCUUGUACAUGUUGUGGUAUCCCGUUCUACUCUGGUAACGGAGCCAAAUACCAUAAUUCUUGAUUGUUGUUGGGUUCUUCUCAAAAAUCUCAUUAAUAGCCAGCAUCUGACCGUUGCUCUUCUUCACCUUCUUAAGCUUCCUCAAGAAAUACCAGAAUUUGGACUUAGCACGAACUUCAUUUGUAGCCCACAACUUCAUACGGUAAAUCUUGGGAUGCUCAUCUGUUUCAGAGGGCAAAGCUCUCCCAACAACCUGGUACUGAUGGAACUUGUAAGUCACCAUUUCGGCAAGGCUCUCUUUCCCUCUGCACUGCGUUUGCCGCCGAAGUGAGUUUAAUAAAGAGAAGAAGAAGAAAG
Molecule: unclassified non-coding RNA, 776 nt
Filed under: Hevea brasiliensis (rubber tree)
Lineage: Eukaryota; Viridiplantae; Streptophyta; Magnoliopsida; Malpighiales; Euphorbiaceae
Source: RNAcentral